AAUGCUUUCAACCUUAUGGAAUAAGGAAUCUAUUUUCCCCGACAGUGCUGAGUAAGUAUCUACUUCAUACACCCCAGGUGCUCUCUUCUGAACUACUCGAUCUGUAGACCACAUAGCUGAAGUUGUAGCCAUCCUUUCAAACAACUCCCAGGCCCCGUCAAUUGUUCUUGUAGAGAUAGACCCGUCAGAUGAUGCAUCCACCAUACUCUUGAAUGAUGGGAGUAAUCCAGUGUAGAAAAACCUGAUCUGAGUCUUCUUGUCAAAGCCAUGUUGUGGGCACUUCCUUAACAUGUUCUUGAAACGGUUCCANN
RNAcentral lists this long non-coding RNA (311 nucleotides) under Olea europaea (common olive). Its description in RNAcentral is "long non-coding RNA (OEUR_LNC008981)". Lineage: Eukaryota; Viridiplantae; Streptophyta; Magnoliopsida; Lamiales; Oleaceae. The record is from RNAcentral.